AAUGAUGAGUUUUCAAUAACAGUGAAAUGUUAAAAAGCACUAUUUAAAAAUCUGUAGCAGUACAAUUACUUCAUAAUUAAAAUUAUAGCCUAAAAUAGAAUCAUUUAAUGCAAAAGUAGCACUAUUAGUUUGGGGGACGUCUGCAUAUUGUGGGCUUGGAGGCACCAUAUUUCUAUAUCCGCUGCCAGUCGGCGGAUUUAGAAAUAUGGGUACUUCGAUCUGCCUCAGCCAAUUGUUGCUACGCGAUAAUUACAUUUUUAACAAUAAUCUGGACCUAAUUAUCGAAGAAAUAACCGUUAUAUUCUAUUAAUAAAUAUGCAGAUCUUUAAAAUAAUCUUGUUUAUUUCGUGUUUCGUAAAUGCAAGAUCUUAUUUUCCAUCGUUUAAGAUUGGAAGCUCCAAACUUUUAAAUGAAAAAUAUAAUGAAGUUAAUCAAAAAGAUAAAGAGCACAUAUAUGCAAUGGGAUUUUGGUCGUGUCCAGAUGAACAUAACGAAAAAAGUUACACCACCGCUCAGAAGAGAGUACCAACAUUAUUGAGAGCAGAUAAUGUGUGUAAACAAGAUGAAGGAUUUGCAUCAUCUCUCUUCAAAAAUUUAUUUACUUUUCUUUAUAACAUAUGUCGAUGGAUCCUAUCUAUCCCAUUAAUGAUUUUCAAAAUUAUAAUUUUAAUUUUUAAAGCCAUUUUCCUUAAUAUUUGGCUAUGCAUAAAAACAAUAAUUACUUCGUUUAUUUGUUUUUUUAUGAAUAUAUUCAAUGCAAUUAUUGAUUUUAUUAAAAUUUGCGCAUCUGCAUUGAUAUGUCCUUUCAAGAUGUUAAAGGACCUUUUAUGUAAAUGUUCGACUGAAAAUAUUGUCGUAAACAAGCAAUCAAGAAGUUGCAGUUUUAAUUUUUGAAAAUCUUAAAUUAUACCAUUGCA
Centruroides sculpturatus (bark scorpion) is the source of this 917-nucleotide long non-coding RNA. RefSeq lists it as uncharacterized. The record is from RefSeq and is a predicted model, not a curated record. Lineage: Eukaryota; Metazoa; Arthropoda; Arachnida; Scorpiones; Buthidae. The transcript has 2 exons.